Molecule: ribosomal RNA, 468 nt
Filed under: uncultured bacterium
Lineage: Bacteria
Description: partial 16S ribosomal RNA
Rfam family: Bacterial small subunit ribosomal RNA
Source: RNAcentral
GACGAACGCUGGCGGCGUGCUUAACACAUGCAAGUCGAACGGAAAGGCCCUGCUUUUGUGGGGUGCUCGAGUGGCGAACGGGUGAGUAACACGUGAGUAACCUGCCCUUGACUUUGGGAUAACUUCAGGAAACUGGGGCUAAUACCGGAUAGGAGCUCCUGCUGCAUGGUGGGGGUUGGAAAGUUUCGGCGGUUGGGGAUGGACUCGCGGCCUAUCAGCUUGUUGGUGGGGUAGUGGCUUACCAAGGCUUUGACGGGUAGCCGGCCUGAGAGGGUGACCGGCCACAUUGGGACUGAGAUACGGCCCAGACUCCUACGGGAGGCAGCAGUGGGGAAUAUUGCACAAUGGGCGGAAGCCUGAUGCAGAAACGCCGCGUGCGGGAUGACGGCCUUCGGGUUGUAAACCGCUUUCGCCUGUGACGAAGCGUGAGUGACGGUAAUGGGUAAAGAAGCACCGGCUAACUACGUG